RNAcentral lists this ribosomal RNA (253 nucleotides) under uncultured bacterium. RNAcentral's name for it is "partial 16S ribosomal RNA". It matches the Rfam family "Bacterial small subunit ribosomal RNA", at positions 524 to 776 of the family's 1533-position model. The record is from RNAcentral.
UACGUAGGGUGCAAGCGUUAAUCGGAAUUACUGGGCGUAAAGCGUGCGCAGGCGGUUAUAUAAGACGGAUGUGAAAUCCCCGGGCUCAACCUGGGAACUGCAUUUGUGACUGUAUAGCUAGAGUACGGCAGAGGGGGAUGGAAUUCCGCGUGUAGCAGUGAAAUGCGUAGAUAUGCGGAGGAACACCGAUGGCGAAGGCAAUCCCCUGGGCCUGUACUGACGCUCAUGCACGAAAGCGUGGGGAGCAAACAGG